Molecule: ribosomal RNA, 523 nt
Filed under: uncultured bacterium
Lineage: Bacteria
Description: bacterial SSU rRNA
Rfam family: Bacterial small subunit ribosomal RNA
Source: RNAcentral
GGGGAAUAUUGGACAAUGGACCGAGAGUCUGAUCCAGCAAUUCUGUGUGCACGAUGAAGUUUUUCGGAAUGUAAAGUGCUUUCAGUUGGGAAGAAAAAAAUGACGGUACCAACAGAAGAAGUGACGGCUAAAUACGUGCCAGCAGCCGCGGUAAUACGUAUGUCACGAGCGUUAUCCGGAUUUAUUGGGCGUAAAGCGCGUCUAGGUGGUUAUGUAAGUCUGAUGUGAAAAUGCAGGGCUCAACUCUGUAUUGCGUUGGAAACUGUAUAACUAGAGUACUGGAGAGGUAAGCGGAACUACAAGUGUAGAGGUGAAAUUCGUAGAUAUUUAUAGGAAUGCCGAUGGGGAAGCCAGCUUACUGGACAGAUACUGACGCUGAAGCGCGAAAGCGUGGGUAGCAAACAGGAUUAGAUACCCUGGUAGUCCACGCCGUAAACGAUGAUUACUAGGUGUUGGGGGUCGAACCUCAGCGCCCAAGCAAACGCGAUAAGUAAUCCGCCUGGGGAGUACGUACGCAAGUAUG